This 204-nucleotide microRNA precursor is filed under the name Oryza nivara. Its description in RNAcentral is "MIR812 microRNA precursor family". It matches the Rfam family "MIR812 microRNA precursor family". The record is from Rfam by way of RNAcentral. Lineage: Eukaryota; Viridiplantae; Streptophyta; Magnoliopsida; Poales; Poaceae.
AAUAGAUGACGUCGUUGACUUUUUCUCAAUGUUUGACCAUUCGUCUUAUUCAAAAUAUUUACGUAAUAAUAAUUUAUUUUGUUACGAGUUGUUUUAUCACUCACAGUACUUUAAGUGUGAUUUAUAUCUUAUACAUUUGCAUAAAAUUUUUGAAUAAGACGAAUGGUCAAACAUGUGAGAAAAAAAUCAACGGUGUCAUUUAUU